RNAcentral lists this ribosomal RNA (498 nucleotides) under uncultured bacterium. Its description in RNAcentral is "partial 16S ribosomal RNA". It matches the Rfam family "Bacterial small subunit ribosomal RNA", at positions 30 to 523 of the family's 1533-position model. The record is from RNAcentral.
AUUGAACGCUGGCGGCAUGCCUUACACAUGCAAGUCGAACGGUAACAGGUCUUCGGAUGCUGACGAGUGGCGAACGGGUGAGUAAUACAUCGGAACGUGCCCGAUCGUGGGGGAUAACGGAGCGAAAGCUUUGCUAAUACCGCAUACGAUCUACGGAUGAAAGCAGGGGACCGCAAGGCCUUGCGCGGACGGAGCGGCCGAUGGCAGAUUAGGUAGUUGGUGGGAUAAAAGCUUACCAAGCCGACGAUCUGUAGCUGGUCUGAGAGGACGACCAGCCACACUGGGACUCAGACACGGCCCAGACUCCGACGGGAGGCAGCAGUGGGGAAUUUUGGACAAUGGGCGCAAGCCUGAUCCAGCCAUGCCGCGUGCAGGAUGAAGGCCUUCGGGUUGUAAACUGCUUUUGUACGGAACGAAAAGACUCUGGUUAAUACCUGGGGUCCAUGACGGUACCGUAAGAAUAAGCACCGGCUAACUACGUGCCAGCCGCCGCAGUAA